AACGAACGCUGGCGGCAUGCCUAACACAUGCAAGUCGAACGAGACCUUCGGGUCUAGUGGCGCACGGGUGCGUAACGCGUGGGAAUCUGCCCUUGGGUUCGGAAUAACUUCGGGAAACUGAAGCUAAUACCGGAUGAUGACGUAAGUCCAAAGAUUUAUCGCCCAAGGAUGAGCCCGCGUAGGAUUAGCUAGUUGGUGAGGUAAAGGCUCACCAAGGCGACGAUCCUUAGCUGGUCUGAGAGGAUGAUCAGCCACACUGGGACUGAGACACGGCCCAGACUCCUACGGGAGGCAGCAGUGGGGAAGUAUUGGACAAUGGGCGAAGCCUGAGUCCA
RNAcentral lists this ribosomal RNA (335 nucleotides) under uncultured bacterium. RNAcentral describes it as "bacterial SSU rRNA". It matches the Rfam family "Bacterial small subunit ribosomal RNA", at positions 29 to 390 of the family's 1533-position model. The record is from RNAcentral.